CGGCGUGCUUAACACAUGCAAGUCGAACGGUGAAGCCCCGCUUGCGGGGUGGAUCAGUGGCGAACGGGUGAGUAACACGUGAGCAACCUGCCCCUGACUCUGGGAUAAGCGCUGGAAACGGCGUCUAAUACUGGAUACGAGACGUGAUCGCAUGGUCAACGUUUGGAAAGAUUUUUCGGUUGGGGAUGGGCUCGCGGCCUAUCAGCUUGUUGGUGAGGUAAUGGCUCACCAAGGCGUCGACGGGUAGCCGGCCUGAGAGGGUGACCGGCCACACUGGGACUGAGACACGGCCCAGACUCCUACGGGAGGCAGCAGUGGGGAAUAUUGCACAAUGGGCGCAAGCCUGAUGCAGCAACGCCGCGUGAGGGAUGACGGCCUUCGGGUUGUAAACCUCUUUUAGCAGGGAAGAAG
RNAcentral lists this ribosomal RNA (411 nucleotides) under actinobacterium BAL238. RNAcentral describes it as "bacterial SSU rRNA". It matches the Rfam family "Bacterial small subunit ribosomal RNA", at positions 40 to 450 of the family's 1533-position model. The record is from RNAcentral. Lineage: Bacteria; Bacillati; Actinomycetota; Actinomycetes.